This 257-nucleotide long non-coding RNA is filed under the name Vigna radiata. Its description in RNAcentral is "long non-coding RNA (VRAD_LNC007973)". The record is from RNAcentral. Lineage: Eukaryota; Viridiplantae; Streptophyta; Magnoliopsida; Fabales; Fabaceae.
UUGUAGUUAGGUUGUUUUGACUUAGGUUUUGUAUUAUGUUUUGAUAGUGAUAGAUUGCAUUAAAGAAGAAGCUCAUAAGAACCAUAUAAGCAAAUGUCAUGUAUUGAAAAUGUGAAUGUUUGUUUGAAUAAUGUUGUUGGUUUGAAUAAUGAUGGUUAAUUUUUGUUGAAAAUAAUUUGUAGUUUCGAUUGAGGGCAUGGUGUGACACCAAAGCCAUAGUCCAAAUUAAUGGUAUAUUAAGAGAAAUUGAUCAGAUA